RNAcentral lists this long non-coding RNA (204 nucleotides) under Elaeis guineensis (African oil palm). RNAcentral describes it as "long non-coding RNA (EGUI_LNC027334)". The record is from RNAcentral. Lineage: Eukaryota; Viridiplantae; Streptophyta; Magnoliopsida; Arecales; Arecaceae.
UUAUGAUUUUUUUAUAUCUUAUAUAACUUUCUGUUAGUUAUAAUAAUCAAUAGAAUAUUAUAUAAACACAUAGAAAGUCAUAUAUAUUAUUUAGGAUGUUAUAUAUAUUUACAGGAAGGAAGUCAUAUAUAUUAUUUAAGAAGUCAUAUAAGUCAUCAGAAAAUUAUAUAAGAUAUUAAGAAAUUAUAAUAACUAAUAAAAUAU